RNAcentral lists this long non-coding RNA (644 nucleotides) under Hordeum vulgare. Its description in RNAcentral is "long non-coding RNA (HVUL_LNC014119)". Lineage: Eukaryota; Viridiplantae; Streptophyta; Magnoliopsida; Poales; Poaceae. The record is from RNAcentral.
UUAACAUUUCAAAUUAAAAAAACAGGAGGAAUUUACUAUACCCUCUCAUGUAGUUGCAUAUCCGCUAGUCACAUACAACUGAGAGGUGUGGGCAGUAGUUGUAUUCUGUUUUCCAAAAUAUAGAACUCCAUUGUCACUUCCGGCGGUUGCAUGAGUAAAAUGUCUUUUAUACUUUGUCAUAAAACAUAAGGUUAAAUAUAAGGAGGGAGAGUGACCUUCACCGAGUGCCUAGGCAGUCCUUAAACGCAUUCCACAGUAAUAUAUGGACUGUUUGGUUCGUGACUAACUUUGGGACGACUAAGCUUACGUAAAGUGUGGCUGCCAUAAAAUGUGUGGCUACAAAAAUAACCAUCACAAGUGUGACAAGAUUUGGCAAAACAUUGAGCAUAUGACAUAUGGAUCAUGUUGCUAGAAAAGUGUGGCAAGCCGCAAAUGUGGCAAUGAACAAAACACAUAUAUAUCUAAGUUGAUGUGGCACGACUAAGAUUACACGUGGCAACCUUAGGCUGUAAACCAAACACGCCCAUAGGUUUUACUAUCAGGAUGUAUCUACGGUUAUUAUAUGUGCAUUAUAUUAAUUCAGGGCAUAUAAAUAAUAUAACUAAGAGCUCCAUUGGAAUAUGACCUAUUUUUUAUACCCUGUC